AAAAACCAGGCAAAGAGCACUUAUCAUGUGGUGAGUACAAUAGAUAGGUUACAAGGAGAUAUCAGGGUUGAUUCCUGUCCUCAGGUAUAUGACAAUCUUGUAGCGAUACCACCAGUAACUGCUCCUUCCCCAACCCACCCAACCAAACCAAUGAGAUGUCUUGCAACACUGUAAUAUAUUACUACAUUUAUUUUCUUUUAUGACAGGUGGGCUUCAGGCCCCAGUCAGCCUGACAUAGAGGCUGGUAUGUGGCAAGGCCUGCAACAGUUCUGGGAGAAGUGAUUGCUGAGAGAUUAGAACAUAGGCUGAGAUUUUUUUUUUUUUUUUUUUUGGUGUCCUUCCUAAUUAAUCUCCCAGGCUUUGCUCAGCAGCACAGUAGUUUUUGAACCCUCUCCUUAGCCACAGCAAGCACUAGACCUAAGAUAAAUUUACAGGACAGGUUUUUGGUGUGGUUUUAUUGAUAGAAGAAACAAGGUUUCACUUGCUAGGAAAGUAUGAGUUUUACUUUUUGAAGGAAUCUUCGUUAAAAAUAAGGAUGCUUAUACUUUGAAGAGUGCUUCCUGACACUGAUGUGAAAGCAACUGACUUUGAAGCAGCCUCUCUACUGGGUUCUAAGUCUUUGUGAGUCACUUGGAAACACAAGUCUGGUAGGCAGGAGGCCUGUGUUAUUCAUAUUUUUUCCUAACUCUGACUUUUGGCACAUCAUCCCACCUCUUUGUGCUUGAGCUCUAUUGUAGUUUGAAUGUUUCUUUCAAAGUGCAUGUAUUGAAGUUUAAUCCCCAAUGCAACAGUAUUGGGAAGUGGGGCCCAGUAAUAGGUGAUUAAGUCAUGAGGGCUCUGUCCUCAUGCACAGACACAUGUUAUUAUUGUGGAGUGGAUUAGUUAUCUUGAGAAUGAGCUUGUUCUAAAAGUGAGUUCUGUCCUCUCUUGCUCUCUUUCUCUUUCUCCCACUUCCUUUUUCAUCUAUUUUCUACCAUGGGAUGAUGCAGCAAGAAGGCCCUCACCAGAUGCCAGACCCUCAGCCUUGGACUUCUCAACCCCUAGAACUAGCUC
This 1053-nucleotide long non-coding RNA is filed under the name Papio anubis (olive baboon). RNAcentral's name for it is "lncRNA (ENSPANG00000042871.1)". Lineage: Eukaryota; Metazoa; Chordata; Mammalia; Primates; Cercopithecidae. The record is from RNAcentral.